Molecule: ribosomal RNA, 2931 nt
Filed under: Escherichia coli
Lineage: Bacteria; Pseudomonadati; Pseudomonadota; Gammaproteobacteria; Enterobacterales; Enterobacteriaceae
Description: 23S ribosomal RNA
Rfam family: Bacterial large subunit ribosomal RNA
Source: RNAcentral
GGGUUGUGAGGUUAAGCGACUAAGCGUACACGGUGGAUGCCCUGGCAGUCAGAGGCGAUGAAGGACGUGCUAAUCUGCGAUAAGCGUCGGUAAGGUGAUAUGAACCGUUAUAACCGGCGAUUUCCGAAUGGGGAAACCCAGUGUGUUUCGACACACUAUCAUUAACUGAAUCCAUAGGUUAAUGAGGCGAACCGGGGGAACUGAAACAUCUAAGUACCCCGAGGAAAAGAAAUCAACCGAGAUUCCCCCAGUAGCGGCGAGCGAACGGGGAGCAGCCCAGAGCCUGAAUCAGUGUGUGUGUUAGUGGAAGCGUCUGGAAAGGCGCGCGAUACAGGGUGACAGCCCCGUACACAAAAAUGCACAUGCUGUGAGCUCGAUGAGUAGGGCGGGACACGUGGUAUCCUGUCUGAAUAUGGGGGGACCAUCCUCCAAGGCUAAAUACUCCUGACUGACCGAUAGUGAACCAGUACCGUGAGGGAAAGGCGAAAAGAACCCCGGCGAGGGGAGUGAAAAAGAACCUGAAACCGUGUACGUACAAGCAGUGGGAGCACGCUUAGGCGUGUGACUGCGUACCUUUUGUAUAAUGGGUCAGCGACUUAUAUUCUGUAGCAAGGUUAACCGAAUAGGGGAGCCGAAGGGAAACCGAGUCUUAACUGGGCGUUAAGUUGCAGGGUAUAGACCCGAAACCCGGUGAUCUAGCCAUGGGCAGGUUGAAGGUUGGGUAACACUAACUGGAGGACCGAACCGACUAAUGUUGAAAAAUUAGCGGAUGACUUGUGGCUGGGGGUGAAAGGCCAAUCAAACCGGGAGAUAGCUGGUUCUCCCCGAAAGCUAUUUAGGUAGCGCCUCGUGAAUUCAUCUCCGGGGGUAGAGCACUGUUUCGGCAAGGGGGUCAUCCCGACUUACCAACCCGAUGCAAACUGCGAAUACCGGAGAAUGUUAUCACGGGAGACACACGGCGGGUGCUAACGUCCGUCGUGAAGAGGGAAACAACCCAGACCGCCAGCUAAGGUCCCAAAGUCAUGGUUAAGUGGGAAACGAUGUGGGAAGGCCCAGACAGCCAGGAUGUUGGCUUAGAAGCAGCCAUCAUUUAAAGAAAGCGUAAUAGCUCACUGGUCGAGUCGGCCUGCGCGGAAGAUGUAACGGGGCUAAACCAUGCACCGAAGCUGCGGCAGCGACGCUGAUGCGUUGUUGGGUAGGGGAGCGUUCUGUAAGCCUGCGAAGGUGUGCUGUGAGGCAUGCUGGAGGUAUCAGAAGUGCGAAUGCUGACAUAAGUAACGAUAAAGCGGGUGAAAAGCCCGCUCGCCGGAAGACCAAGGGUUCCUGUCCAACGUUAAUCGGGGCAGGGUGAGUCGACCCCUAAGGCGAGGCCGAAAGGCGUAGUCGAUGGGAAACAGGUUAAUAUUCCUGUACUUGGUGUUACUGCGAAGGGGGGACGGAGAAGGCUAUGUUGGCCGGGCGACGGUUGUCCCGGUUUAAGCGUGUAGGCUGGUUUUCCAGGCAAAUCCGGAAAAUCAAGGCUGAGGCGUGAUGACGAGGCACUACGGUGCUGAAGCAACAAAUGCCCUGCUUCCAGGAAAAGCCUCUAAGCAUCAGGUAACAUCAAAUCGUACCCCAAACCGACACAGGUGGUCAGGUAGAGAAUACCAAGGCGCUUGAGAGAACUCGGGUGAAGGAACUAGGCAAAAUGGUGCCGUAACUUCGGGAGAAGGCACGCUGAUAUGUAGGUGAAGUCCCUCGCGGAUGGAGCUGAAAUCAGUCGAAGAUACCAGCUGGCUGCAACUGUUUAUUAAAAACACAGCACUGUGCAAACACGAAAGUGGACGUAUACGGUGUGACGCCUGCCCGGUGCCGGAAGGUUAAUUGAUGGGGUUAGCGCAAGCGAAGCUCUUGAUCGAAGCCCCGGUAAACGGCGGCCGUAACUAUAACGGUCCUAAGGUAGCGAAAUUCCUUGUCGGGUAAGUUCCGACCUGCACGAAUGGCGUAAUGAUGGCCAGGCUGUCUCCACCCGAGACUCAGUGAAAUUGAACUCGCUGUGAAGAUGCAGUGUACCCGCGGCAAGACGGAAAGACCCCGUGAACCUUUACUAUAGCUUGACACUGAACAUUGAGCCUUGAUGUGUAGGAUAGGUGGGAGGCUUUGAAGUGUGGACGCCAGUCUGCAUGGAGCCGACCUUGAAAUACCACCCUUUAAUGUUUGAUGUUCUAACGUUGACCCGUAAUCCGGGUUGCGGACAGUGUCUGGUGGGUAGUUUGACUGGGGCGGUCUCCUCCUAAAGAGUAACGGAGGAGCACGAAGGUUGGCUAAUCCUGGUCGGACAUCAGGAGGUUAGUGCAAUGGCAUAAGCCAGCUUGACUGCGAGCGUGACGGCGCGAGCAGGUGCGAAAGCAGGUCAUAGUGAUCCGGUGGUUCUGAAUGGAAGGGCCAUCGCUCAACGGAUAAAAGGUACUCCGGGGAUAACAGGCUGAUACCGCCCAAGAGUUCAUAUCGACGGCGGUGUUUGGCACCUCGAUGUCGGCUCAUCACAUCCUGGGGCUGAAGUAGGUCCCAAGGGUAUGGCUGUUCGCCAUUUAAAGUGGUACGCGAGCUGGGUUUAGAACGUCGUGAGACAGUUCGGUCCCUAUCUGCCGUGGGCGCUGGAGAACUGAGGGGGGCUGCUCCUAGUACGAGAGGACCGGAGUGGACGCAUCACUGGUGUUCGGGUUGUCAUGCCAAUGGCACUGCCCGGUAGCUAAAUGCGGAAGAGAUAAGUGCUGAAAGCAUCUAAGCACGAAACUUGCCCCGAGAUGAGUUCUCCCUGACUCCUUGAGAGUCCUGAAGGAACGUUGAAGACGACGACGUUGAUAGGCCGGGUGUGUAAGCGCAGCGAUGCGUUGAGCUAACCGGUACUAAUGAACCGUGAGGCUUAACCUUACAACGCCGAAGGUGUUU